AUUAGGCAUGCAAGUCGAACGGUAUAAACCUUCGGGGUUUAGAGAGCGGCGAACGGGUGAGUAACACGUAGGUAAUCUACCCUCAAAACGGGGACAACCCAGGGAAACUUGGGCUAAUACCGGAUGCGUGCAAGCAAUGUUUUGGUUGUUAAUGCUAUUCACGGAAGUGAGUAGUGUUAAUGGUUGAGAGCAUUAUUUGCAUAAAAGGUGGCAUAUGCUGCCGUUUGAGGAUGAGCCUGCGUCCUAUUAGUUAGUUGGUGAGGUAAUGGCUUACCAAGGCGAUGAUAGGUAGGCGGCCUUAACGGGUGGUCGCCCACACUGGGAUUGAGAGACGGCCCAGACUCCUACGGGAGGCAGCAGUCGAGAAUAGUCUACAAUGGACGGAAGUCUGAUAGUGCGACGCCGCGUGAACGAAGAAUCCCUUCGGGGUGUAAAGUUCUUUUAUACGUGAGCAGUGCCCUUUAUAUGAAUAGUAUAGAGGGAGGGAUUUAAGCGUAUGAAUAAGCAACGGCUAACUCCGUG
This 522-nucleotide ribosomal RNA is filed under the name uncultured bacterium. RNAcentral describes it as "bacterial SSU rRNA". It matches the Rfam family "Bacterial small subunit ribosomal RNA", at positions 48 to 507 of the family's 1533-position model. The record is from RNAcentral.